ACCGUCGGGUGGAUGCCUUGCGCGGAGGCAUCGAGUGUCGAUCUCGCGGGGGAAGAUUAGGAGUGGGUGACGGAGAGACGGUCGGAGACGGCUCCGUUGAACACUCCUUUAAGAACAAAGGUACUGCGAAGGUUCAAGACCCUUCCUCUAGCGCCAAUCCUGUUGGUGCAAAAAUCUGCUUGCGCUGGAGAAGCUGGAGUCGGGGAAGCCGCAGUCGCCGUCGGGACCUGCAAAGGAAGUCUAAAUCGGAGGUGGGGUUGCUCCGGCAAGACCCUCCGAUGCUCAAGUCAGUUCUCUGCCUCAACAAGAAUGGAGUGCUCGAACGGAGAAUUUAGCAGAGUUUUGAGAUAAGAAAUGAGCUUAGAGAAUAAUAUAUCUGGGUCCCCCUUUUAUAGGCGGGGGAGGUAACAGAUUGAUGGCGACGUUUGUAACCACCAGGUAGUGGGCCGCCCUUAGUCAGGAGGAAUCUACUGCGA
Molecule: long non-coding RNA, 476 nt
Filed under: Elaeis guineensis (African oil palm)
Lineage: Eukaryota; Viridiplantae; Streptophyta; Magnoliopsida; Arecales; Arecaceae
Description: long non-coding RNA (EGUI_LNC066163)
Source: RNAcentral